AUAAGUCACUGGUAGGAGAUACCACAAUCACAAAGGCUAUUUUCUCAGAAUGAGAAAUAACCACUGAACUCUGGAUGUGCUCCCCAAAUGGGGGAAACUCAGCUGCGUAAUUUGUGGUGGUGGUGGUGGGGGGGCCCAUGUUCAAA
This 146-nucleotide small nuclear RNA is filed under the name Otolemur garnettii (small-eared galago). Its description in RNAcentral is "U1 spliceosomal RNA (ENSOGAG00000022640.1)". Lineage: Eukaryota; Metazoa; Chordata; Mammalia; Primates; Galagidae. The record is from RNAcentral.